UCGUUGGACAAAUUAUAAGGA
Non-coding RNA from Caenorhabditis elegans, 21 nucleotides. The record is from Ensembl. Lineage: Eukaryota; Metazoa; Nematoda; Chromadorea; Rhabditida; Rhabditidae.